GAUGUUCGGUUAAGUCCGCUAACGAGCGCAACCCUCGCUGUGUGUUACAAGUGUCACACGGAACUGCCGGUCAUAAACCGAGGAAGUGGGAUGACGUCAAGUCAGCAUGGCCUUUAUAUCCUGGGCUACACACACGCUACAAUGGGAAGGGACAAUAGGUUGCGAAGCCGCGAGGCGGAGCCAAUCCAGCAAAACUUCCCUCAGUUCAGAUUGCAGGCUGCAACUCGCCUGCAUGAAGUUGGAGUUGCUAGUAAACGCAGGUCAGCUAUACUGCGUUGAAUACGUUCCCGGGUUU
RNAcentral lists this ribosomal RNA (295 nucleotides) under uncultured Anaerolineaceae bacterium. RNAcentral describes it as "partial 16S ribosomal RNA". It matches the Rfam family "Bacterial small subunit ribosomal RNA", at positions 1071 to 1381 of the family's 1533-position model. The record is from RNAcentral. Lineage: Bacteria; Bacillati; Chloroflexota; Anaerolineae; Anaerolineales; Anaerolineaceae.